CCCUUAGAUGUCCUGGGCCGCACGCGCGUUACACUGAUGCAUUCAACGAGCUUAUAACCUUGGCCGAGAGGCCUGGGCAAUCUUGUUAACGUGCAUCGUGAUAGGGAUAGAUUAUUGAAAUUAUUAAUCUUGAACGAGGAAUUCCUAGUAAGCACAAGUCAUCAGCUUGUGUUGAUUACGUCCCUGCCCUUUGUACACACCGCCCGUCGCUCCUACCGAUUGAAUGUUCCGGUGAGCUCUUCGGACUGCGCGGUCUGCAGUUUCUGCGUUCCGUGCGGAAAGUUGUGCAAACCUUAACAUUUAGAGGAAGGAGAAGUCGUAACA
This 324-nucleotide ribosomal RNA is filed under the name uncultured eukaryote. Its description in RNAcentral is "partial 18S ribosomal RNA". It matches the Rfam family "Eukaryotic small subunit ribosomal RNA", at positions 1470 to 1796 of the family's 1831-position model. The record is from RNAcentral.